Molecule: ribosomal RNA, 303 nt
Filed under: Triticum aestivum (bread wheat)
Lineage: Eukaryota; Viridiplantae; Streptophyta; Magnoliopsida; Poales; Poaceae
Description: partial small subunit ribosomal RNA
Source: RNAcentral
AUGCCUUCAAAAAGGGGACAACACCGUAAAGCUUCGCUAUCGCCGGCCUUGGCACAUAGCCGAAAGCAGGGCUUUCACUCGCAUCUGCUCGAUGAACCUCCAUCCAGCAUCUUGUGCUCCGGAUCUCGACCAUCCCCAGCACCUCAGCAACGUUGGUACUUCAGCCACCACCAUAGCACCUCACGCCUCCACGCUCUGGUCAGAUGCACAUGUCACCCUGCCACACCUCACCGGCGGAGCCUAGCCACAAGAUGCAACACCACCGCCAUCCCGCAGGGCCACCGGCCACUCCCAUGUCCUUAG